UGGAAAGGAGGGAGCCGGGAAGGUUCUCUCGGCGUUUCCCCGGUUUUGAGCUCCGAUCCAGCCUGUUCCCACGUUGAACGACGGCCCUGCAAAGUGGGAGGGCGGUGUAACGGUAACGUCUAAAUUGGGGACAGGUGGUUAGAUGGGGGAGGAGGGGGGAAAGUACAUCGUUUCUCUUCCCGUCGGUCGGUGCUGCCCGGCCCCAUUUCAGACGUUACCUUUAUACACGGGAGAAGCAAAACGAUGGUGAGCCGAAAAUACACCGAGGGAAGAAAUGUGAGUCCUUGUUUCCCUUUGAAAGAGAGCGCGCGUUAACAGAUCUUUUAAAGAUUUGUAUCUGCUUUCACCACUCGCAGUGGAAUAAAACUAUCAUAGGGGAAAGUACGCUAUAAUUUGAGAUUUCCACAAACCCAGACAUUUUUUGUAGCAUUUGGCAUUCAUUCCUUUGUCACGUAGGCAGGACAACCUUCAUUUUGAAGACAAACAUGGACACAAGCCUGCCAAAUCUGAACUUCACGACAGUCAAAUAACACUAAAUGUAUUCUCUGGGUGUUGUUGUUUUUUAACUGUGAAAACAGUUUUUUCUUUCAUGAAUUGGACUUUGUUACUUAAGCUGCAGAAGUAAAUGUACAUAUUCUAUGUGCUGAUGAUUUUUUUUGUUAGUUGUCAUCAGUUCUUCUGUUUUUUGUAUACAUUAUAAAAUGCAAUAAAAUAUCUUUACAAAAAACAACCACUCUCCACGUUUAUGUCCCUAACACCGUUUCCUGCAACCCACAUUCGCUUGUUUCCUUCCCUUCCUCCUGGCUUUGCCUUCUAGCCUGAUAUAAUCCUGGGAACUGUAAUUUGUGAAGGGUGUUGGUGGGAAUCGUAGCUCUAUGGCUCCCGGGAGCCUUGGGGAGGAGGAAGGCAUGCACUUUAAAUAUAUGGUGUGUGUCAGUGACAUGACCUAAUAAAGGAGUUUGGAAAUGUUCACAAAGCAU
Molecule: non-coding RNA, 980 nt
Organism: Podarcis lilfordi (Lilford's wall lizard)
Lineage: Eukaryota; Metazoa; Chordata; Lepidosauria; Squamata; Lacertidae
Source: the annotation of a GenBank genome assembly